UUUACAUAUAUAUAUAUAUACGUUUUUUCUUUUUGAUACCAGGUCUCACACUGUCACCCAGGCUGGAGUACAGUGGCACAACCUCUGCUCACUGCAGCCUCCACCUGCCAGGCUCAAGCAAUUCUCCUGCCUCAGCCUCCCGAGUAGCUGGGAUUACAGGUAAGUGCCACCACACCCAGCUGAUUUUUGUGUUUUUUGUAGAGACGAGGUUUCGCCGUGUUUCCCAGACUGUUCUCAAACUCCUGAGCUCAAAGCAGUCCACCCACCUUGGCCUCCCAGAGUGCUGGGAUUACAGUUGAAGCAUAUGUCCUGCGAGCUUAGGGGUGCUACAAGUUGACCACUGCAGCAGUAAAGAUGACUCUGAAGAAUGGCGUGGGAUGGAUCCUUUCAAAUGCACUUGAGCAGCGGUCUCCAACCACAGGGCCACAGAGCUGGAGAUGGACAGUCUAGUUGCAGGAAAACAAGCUCAGAGAUCCCACUGAGUCUACGUUAUAGUGAGUUGUAGAAUCAUUUCAUUAUAUAUUACUAUGUAGUAAUAAUAGAAAUAAAGUGCACAAUAUAUGUAAUGCACUUGAAUCAUCCUGAAAUUAUUCCCUCACUCCCAGUCUGUGGAAAAAUUGUCUUCCACACAUUCACUCUGUUUUUUGGUAGAGGCAGGGUCUUAAUAUAUUGCCCAGGCUGAUCUCAAACUCCUGGCCUCAAGUAAUAUACCUCUCUCAGCCUCCCAAAGUGCUGAGAUUACAGGCAUAAGCCACCACCCUCAACCAAGACUUUCUUAAACCAAAUAAAAAUUAAGUGAGAUUACUUGAGCCCAGGUG
This is a long non-coding RNA of Gorilla gorilla gorilla (western lowland gorilla), 818 nucleotides long. RefSeq lists it as uncharacterized. Lineage: Eukaryota; Metazoa; Chordata; Mammalia; Primates; Hominidae. The transcript has 3 exons. The record is from RefSeq and is a predicted model, not a curated record.